CAUGCAAGUCGAACGAUGAACCACUUCGGUGGGGAUUAGUGGCGAACGGGUGAGUAACACGUGGGCAAUCUGCCCUGCACUCUGGGACAAGCCCUGGAAACGGGGUCUAAUACCGGAUACUGACCCGCUUGGGCAUCCAAGCGGUUCGAAAGCUCCGGCGGUGCAGGAUGAGCCCGCGGCCUAUCAGCUAGUUGGUGAGGUAAUGGCUCACCAAGGCGACGACGGGUAGCCGGCCUGAGAGGGCGACCGGCCACACUGGGACUGAGACACGGCCCAGACUCCUACGGGAGGCAGCAGUGGGGAAUAUUGCACAAUGGGCGAAAGCCUGAUGCAGCGACGCCGCGUGAGGGAUGACGGCCUUCGGGUUGUAAACCUCUUUCAGCAGGGAAGAAGCGAAAGUGACGGUACCUGCAGAAGAAGCGCCGGCUAACUACGUGCCAGCAGCCGCGGUAAUACGUAGGGCGCAAGCGUUGUCCGGAAUUAUUGGGCGUAAAGAGCUCGUAGGCGGCUUGUCACGUCGGUUGUGAAAGCCCGGGGCUUAACCCCGGGUCUGCAGUCGAUACGGGCAGGCUAGAGUUCGGUAGGGGAGAUCGGAAUUCCUGGUGUAGCGGUGAAAUGCGCAGAUAUCAGGAGGAACACCGGUGGCGAAGGCGGAUCUCUGGGCCGAUACUGACGCUGAGGAGCGAAAGCGUGGGGAGCGAACAGGAUUAGAUACCCUGGUAGUCCACGCCGUAAACGGUGGGCACUAGUGGUGGGCAACAUUCCACGUUGUCCGUGCCGCAGCUAACGCAUUAAGUGCCCCGCCUGGGGAGUACGGCCGCAAGGCUAAAACUCA
Molecule: ribosomal RNA, 835 nt
Filed under: Streptomyces sp.
Lineage: Bacteria; Bacillati; Actinomycetota; Actinomycetes; Kitasatosporales; Streptomycetaceae
Description: bacterial SSU rRNA
Rfam family: Bacterial small subunit ribosomal RNA
Source: RNAcentral